RNAcentral lists this ribosomal RNA (543 nucleotides) under Vairimorpha ceranae. RNAcentral describes it as "SSU rRNA". It matches the Rfam family "Microsporidia small subunit ribosomal RNA", at positions 1 to 594 of the family's 1311-position model. The record is from RNAcentral. Lineage: Eukaryota; Fungi; Microsporidia; Nosematidae.
CCAGGUUGAUUCUGCCUGACGUAGACGCUAUUCCCUAAGAUUAACCCAUGCAUGUUUUUGACAUUUGAAAAAUGGACUGCUCAGUAAUACUCACUUUAUUUUAUGUAAAUUUUUGAUUAAUUAACUACGUUAAAGUGUAGAUAAGAUGUUUACAGUAAGAGUGAGACCUAUCAGCUAGUUGUUAAGGUAAUGGCUUAACAAGGCUGUGACGGGUAACGGUAUUGCUUUGUAAUAUUCCGGAGAAGGAGCCUGAGAGACGGCUACUAAGUCUAAGGAUUGCAGCAGGGGCGAAACUUGACCUAUGGAUUUUAUCUGAGGCAGUUAUGGGAAGUAAUAUUAUAUUGUUUCAUAUUUUAAAAGUAUAUGAGGUGAUUAAUUGGAGGGCAAAUCAAGUGCCAGCAGCCGCGGUAAUACUUGUUCCAAGAGUGUGUAUGAUGAUUGAUGCAGUUAAAAAGUCCGUAGUUUAUUUUUUUAAGAAGCAAUAUGAGGUGUACUGUAUAGUUGGGAGAAAGAUGAAAUGUGACGACCCUGACUGGACGAACA